RNAcentral lists this long non-coding RNA (1526 nucleotides) under Sus scrofa (pig). Its description in RNAcentral is "lncRNA (ENSSSCG00015048859.1)". The record is from RNAcentral. Lineage: Eukaryota; Metazoa; Chordata; Mammalia; Artiodactyla; Suidae.
CUUCCAGAAGUUUACAUUUAGGUCUGUAAAAAAGCACAACCUGCAGAGCUGUGUGUGUGUGUGUGUGUGCUUGUGUGUGUGUGUGUGUGUGUCUGUGCAUGUGAAACUCAUCAAACUUCUUUAAUAACUCUGAAUAUGACUUGUUUGGGCAUAUUUUCAAUGGAUGGCUAAUUUUGUGCCAGAAUUCAAAUGGAAAUUUAAACCAAAAGAGCUUGCAGAUAAAUAGCAGAGAUUGCUUGCUUUUCACCCCAUUUCUUCUGGUGGUAACUUUUCAAUUGUGAUUUUUUUUUUUUAACCCUCCAUAUUUUUUUUUUGCCAGACUUUGAUUUCUAAAGCUUUAUUUUUAGUCUUUGUAAGGCACAGCAUUGAUUGAGCAUGCUGUGUUCUAAUUUUGGUAGCAAUUUUGUAGGUUAGCUCAGUUUCAUAGAAAUUAGAAAGCUGGGGCUCAUGGAAGUGACUUAUUUUAUCCACGUAGCAGGGGGUGGCAGAGUGGAUGACGCCAGGGUCUGUGCUUCUUCAUCUCAAGGCUGGUGCUGUUUCCUUGGUGGGGCUCCAGGUCAAGUGUGGUCUGCAUUAAGGUCCUCCCUGGUGGAUGCUUGUGAAUGACCUGGGUGUGCACAGAGCAGAGUGGGGCUCCAGAGCCUGUACAUGUUGCUGGGUGUGCAGUAAACACACAGAAAACAGUAUAUGCCCACCCUGCUCGUGAAGAGGGAGUUGCUGAGUCUACACUCUGUGCCAUCUACCAUGCAAUUCACCACAGUAAUUUCGAAUAGCUUCUUGGGUCUUGCAUCAUUUGCGAAAGUGAAGCAAACCUUCCUCUACUGUACAGAGACUGUAAGCACACCAAGGGGAGUUUCUGGACGACUAGAGGACAUCUGAGGAGCACGGCUAAGCCCCAAACCUUCCUUAGGACUACUGUGAACCCCUAUACUUCUGCAGCUACAGUUCCAAAUUUCUGGGCUCCGUCCCAACAAAACGUCUAGAAAAAUUUGCUCUAUUUUCGAUCCUCGUUUUUUUUUUUUUUUUUUUUUUUUUUUCUCAUUUCAGAACAGUGAUGGCUUUUCCAGGUAAAGCAUCUUGUUACCUUAUAAGUUUCAUUAAAUAGAUGGCCUUUGAACUAGACCUUGCAGAAUGGGUAAAAUUUAUUUUGGAAAAGAAGUGAAAGAGGGCUAUCAGAGAGUGUUUUCAUGAAUGUAUAAGCCUGGAAUCUGGAUGUCUUUGAUAAGGAGCGAUAAAAGGGUACAUUUGGGUGUGGAUUAAUUCACUUACUCAGUAUAUACAUAUAUAUAGAAACCACAAUUAGAUACGGGAAAUAUAGCAAAGGAUUAGACCUGGUCCAGCUCUCAUGAUGUUCAGAGACAGUGAUGGUUCCGGGGCAUAGAGACGCAGUGGACAUCAAGAGGUGGGUUCAGAAGAAAGAGUGGGGGAAAAACUGUAAUUGCAAUGUAUACAUGUAAGGAUAACCUGACCCCCUUGCUGUACAGUGGGAAAAUAAAAAAAAAAUAAAUAAAUAAAUAAAUAAAUAA